AUCUUCAACCCCAUGGCCGAAUAUAGCAAGGAGAAACCAUGGCUAGGGUUUUUCAAGCUUCCAAGCUCGAUUAGCAAGGAAAACUGAAAUUCGGGCUAAAAUGGGGAAAAUACCAAGUUGUGGACGAAAUGGUAAAAAUAGCCAUUUUCGCAUACGAGUGUUGACAAGCCAGCUCGGAAAUCGGAAGCGGUCGGAGGCACGCUCACACUAUCUGUAUACCAUCUUGACAUAAUGGCUUGUAUAUUUUGAGUAUGGCAUGUAUAGCAUUAUAAUCAUUUUGUAUAUAUGGUCUUAUGAUAUGGUUAUUGAGUGGUAUGGAGAUAGAAAUGCUUGGUAAUGAUUAGCCAUUGGAAUGGCUAAUCAUGAUCAUAUUUGGUAUUAUGUAUGUCAAAUUGCUAGCUAAUCCAUGGAAACCAUGAAAUAGGUAAAAUUUACCAUAAAAUAGAUUCAGACAGCAGCA
This is a long non-coding RNA of Gossypium arboreum, 460 nucleotides long. RefSeq lists it as uncharacterized. NCBI's taxonomy places the organism in Eukaryota, Viridiplantae, Streptophyta, Magnoliopsida, Malvales, Malvaceae. The transcript has 2 exons. The record is from RefSeq and is a predicted model, not a curated record.